Molecule: unclassified non-coding RNA, 404 nt
Filed under: soil metagenome
Description: partial contains 5.8S ribosomal RNA, internal transcribed spacer 2, and large subunit ribosomal RNA
Rfam family: 5.8S ribosomal RNA (bases 1-122)
Source: RNAcentral
GAUGAAGAACGUAGCAAAAUGCGAUACUUGGUGUGAAUUGCAGAAUCCCGUGAACCAUCGAGUUUUUGAACGCAAGUUGCGCCCGAAGCCUUUUGGCCGAGGGCACGUCUGCCUGGGCGUCACGCAUCGCGUCGCCCCCCACAAUUCUCCGCAAAAGGAACAUGUGUUUUGGGGGCGGAUAUUGGUCUCCCGUGCUCAUGGCGUGGUUGGCCGGAAUAGGAGUCCUUUCGAUGGACGCACGAACUAGUGGUAGUCGUAAAAACCCUCGUCUUUUGUUUCGUGCUGUUGCUCGCAAGGUAAACUCUUUAAAAACCCCAAUGUGUCGUCUCUUGACGACGCUUCGACCGCGACCCCAGGUCAGGCGGGACUACCCGCUGAGUUUAAGCAUAUCAAUAAGCGGAGGA